UGACAGUACUCCUACGGGGAGGCAGCAGUGGGGGAAUAUUGCACAAUGGGCGCAAGCCUGAUGCAGCCAUGCCGCGUGUGUGAAGAAGGCCUUCGGGUUGUUAAAGCACUUUCAGUCGUGAGGAAGGUAGUGUAGUUAAUAGCUGCAUUAUUUGACGUUUAGCGACAGAAGAAGCACCGGCUAACUCCGUGCCAGCAGCCGCGGUAAUACGGAGGGUGCGAGCGUUAAUCGGAAUUACUGGGCGUAAAGCGCAUGCAGGUGGUUUGUUAAGUCAGAUGUGAAAGCCCGGGGCUCAACCUCGGAAUAGCAUUUGAAACUGGCAGACUAGAGUACUGUAGAGGGGGGUAGGAAUUUCAGGUGUAGCGGUGAAAUGCGUAGAGAUCUGAAGGAAUACCGGUGGCGAAGGCGGCCCCCUGGACAGAUACUGACACUCAGAUGCGAAAGCGUGGGGAGCAAACAGGAUUAGAUACCCUGGUAG
This 478-nucleotide ribosomal RNA is filed under the name uncultured bacterium. RNAcentral's name for it is "bacterial SSU rRNA". It matches the Rfam family "Bacterial small subunit ribosomal RNA", at positions 328 to 793 of the family's 1533-position model. The record is from RNAcentral.